Molecule: ribosomal RNA, 325 nt
Filed under: uncultured bacterium
Lineage: Bacteria
Description: bacterial SSU rRNA
Rfam family: Bacterial small subunit ribosomal RNA
Source: RNAcentral
UCAAAGUCGGGGGACCGUAAGGCCUGACGCUUCUUGAUAAGCCCGCGGCCUAUCAGCUAGUUGGUGAGGUAAACGGCUCACCAAGGCUAAGACGGGUAGCUGGCCUGAGAGGACGACCAGCCUCACUGGAACUGAGACACGGUCCAGACACCUACGGGUGGCAGCAGUCGAGAAUUUUUCUCAAUGGGGAAACCCUGAAGGAGCGACGCCGCGUGGGGGAUGAAUGGCUUCGGCCCGUAAACCCCUGUCAUUUGCGAUCAAACCUUACGACCUAACACGUCGUAAGCUGAUAGUAGCGGAAGAGGAAGGGACGGCUAACUCUGUG